RNAcentral lists this ribosomal RNA (228 nucleotides) under uncultured bacterium. Its description in RNAcentral is "partial 16S ribosomal RNA". It matches the Rfam family "Bacterial small subunit ribosomal RNA", at positions 568 to 795 of the family's 1533-position model. The record is from RNAcentral.
CGUGUAGGCGGCCGAUCAAGUCGGAUGUGAAAUCUCUCGGCUCAACCGAGAAACUGCAUUCGAUACUGGUUAGCUAGAGUGCGAGAGGGGUGAGUGGAACUCCAGGUGUAGCGGUGAAAUGCGUAGAUAUCUGGAGGAACGCCGGUGGCGAAAGCGACUCACUGGCUCGCAACUGACGCUGAGGCGCGAAAGCUAGGGGAGCGAACAGGAUUAGAUACCCUGGUAGUC